AAGAGACAUCAAGUUUAUAAGGUUGAGAAGCAUAAAAGCUUAAGUUGUUUAUCUAAGAUGUUUUUAGGUCUAAAAAAUAUUUUUAGGAUGAUAAUACAAGUUAUGACAAAAAUGGUUUAGGUGUACAAUUUUGGAUUUGCUAAGAUAGGAUUGAUAGCAUAGUACUUUCUCCAAAUUUGUCAAAUACAUAUGUACUAAACAUUGUAAAUGUAAUCUUACCUAAUAAUUGUUCUUACUAUUUAUAAUUUUACUUUGUUAGGGUUAAAAGCUUUCCUUUAUUUAGACAAAAGUGGGAAAUGUUGUGGAAUAUUUUUACACUGUGUGAGUGUAUAUUGCUGUGACUGAUGUAAUAAAACUGGAAUGUCUAAUAUCUAGGCAGGAGAUAAAGACAGGACUUCUGGGGAGAGAAAAGAAGAGGAGGAGGAAUCUAGGCAUACUGGAGACACCAGAAGACACAGAGAAAACAGGAGGUGCAAGAUGGAAGAGAGCUAACACCACGUGAUAGAACAUAGGUUAAUAUAAAUGGGUUAGUUUAAGUUGUAAGAACAGUUAGGAACAAGGCUACAACAAGCCAAGCUUUCAUAAUUAGUAAGAAGUCUCCAUGUCAUUAUUUGGGAGCUGGCAGCAAGGACAGAGAAAGAUUUGUUACAAGAAACCAAGUGGAGAAACAGCAUUUAUUUUUCUUUGCUUCUUGACUAUGGACACUGUGACCAGCACUUCUCAUAUCCAUUGACAUGGAUUCUCUGCCAUGAUAGGCUGUCUCCUCAAAUUGGGAGCCCAAACAAACCUGCUUAAACCCAUUCUGUCAGGUGAUCUGUUACAGCAAUGGAAGUAACUACUGCAGAAAACUGGAGAACUGGAAAAGAGGAUCCAUGUGGUACUUAGGUCUUUGGGGCUGGUUUGUGGGAUGAAUGGGGAAGAGUUUGGAACUUGGGGCUAGAAAAGCCCUUGAGUGUUACAAAUACAGCUUAAUGUCCCAUUCUGGUGUGAUUUUAGAAAACCAGAAUUUGAGAGAGAUGCAGACAAUGGAGGUAUGGCCACGAGGUUUUAGAGAGAAGUAAGAAGUCUCUUGGGAACUGGGUUAGAGAACAUUUGUUCUGUAUUCUGGCAAAGAAUCUGAUGUUUUCUGCUCAUGUCCUGAGAACUCAAGUGAGGUUGAACUCAAAAGUAAUGGAUAGCUUUGUCUGACAGAUGAAUUUUCAAGAGAGGGUUCUGUCCAGGCUGUGACAUGGUGACUGCUCAUCAUUUUCCAGAUCUAUAGCGAGUGAGAGCAUCAACUCCAUUAGGAGGAGAUGAAAAUGGUCCACUUGGUGGGGAAAUGAAUGAGUGCAGAGUUUCAGACAAGAAGGCUGAAGAAGCAGUUAUAAUUGGGAAAGAGAUUAGUAAUAUUAAUGAAAACCUUUUAGUCUAUGCUGGGAAGAUAAGAAAGAUGCCCUGAAAAUGAGAAGACACCCACUAAAGCCUCUGUGUUGGGGAAAUACAAAUUCAUCUGAAAGUAGAUAUUCUAAGCUGAGAAUGCUACUGAAGAGGUUCCUUCAAACAAUGCCUAGGCACAGAGGCCACUAUGCAGUGGCUCUCAGCAGCAGCAGCCACGUAGGGAUGCUCAAUAUUUUGGCUUCUCUGAGCCAUAUUGGAUAAAGAAGCAUUGUCUUCGGUUACAUAUUAAAUACACAAAUACUGAGGCUGGAGAUGUGGUUCAACAGUUAAGAACACUUAUUGCUUUUGCAGAGCAUGUACACUCAGUUCCUAGUACCCACAUGGUGGUUCACAACCAUCCUUAGCUCCAGUUCCAGGGGAUUGGACAGUCUCUUCUGACCCCUGUGGGUACCAGACAUACACACAGUACACAGACAUAUACUCAGGCAAAAGAUUCGUACACAUAAACUAGUAAAUCUAAAAUCUAAAAUUAAAAAAUGACGCAAAUACCAAUGAAAGCAAAUAAGCAAACAAAAGUCUCCAAUAUAAUUUUAUGACUUUAGCACCACAGUUAACAAAUUUCUUAUAUAAUCCUAAUAAUCACCAUUAAAGUCAUAAAGAAGGUCCUUAGUUUGCAGUCAUUAAUGUAGAAAACAUAUCUAAGUAAUAAAACUCCACUGAUUGAACAUUUUUUAAAAAUUGUAAAACUAAAAGAAAAGGGGGUAACAAGGCUAUGAUUGAUGCUGUAUCUCAGAAGCUAAUCAUUGGGUCUUUUCUAUACCGCACUGCCAAUGUAGUGCAAGGCAGAAGGUUGAUAAUCAUUGAGGCACAGCCAUGGUAUGGGAGUAGCUUAAAUAAUCAAAUGAAACCACUUACCUGUCUUCUAAAUAGCAUUCAUAGGCCUGGGAAGAUGACUCAGCACAGUACUUGUUGUGCAAUCAUGAGUAUCUGAGUUCAGAUCUUCAGUACCCACCUAAAACCCAGAUGUAGCACAUGCUUGUAAUUGGGGAUAUGGAGAUAGGAGGCUCCCUAGAGCUCAUCUGCCAGCUAGUCUUGCCCAAGCAGUGAGUUCCAGGCUCAGUGAGAGCUCUUAUCUAUAAAAGCAAGGCGAGAGCAAUAAAUAGUCUAGGUCUUGACUAGAUCUAUGGCCUGUAAUGCAUGUUCACAUAGACACGAACACACACACACACACACACACACAGAGAUCACAUCGCAUUGUGAGAGUGUUAACUGUCAAUCUGAUAGAAUCCUUGUUAUCUGGGAAACAAGCCUUUGGCUCUGCCAGUGUGGAAUUAUCUUAUUUCUGUUAGUUGUGGUGGAAAGACCCAUUCUAAACUAGAUGGCACAAUUUUCUUGGUUUGGGGUCUCCACAAUUUACUAAUUGCCCCUGCUUCCUUAAAUGUCAAGCAGAAUGGUCCCUCCAGAAGGGUUUGGAAGCAUCAGCAGCAGUUCAAGUGCUUUCCAGAGGCCCUGAUGGCCCAUGGUUCUGUGUCCUAGGGCAUCUCUGGCAAUGCAGAUUGCUGAGUACAAAAGAGGCAGGUGUGGCCCCUCAUCAGAAAGUGUUGAAGAUGAGUUUCACCUUCCGAGAUGUCUGAACAUAGGAAAAAGGAUUUGUGACAUUUUAGAAUUCCUCUUCUUUCCAUCCCCAUUUCUCCUUCCCCUUUCAACACUCCUCUUGGCCUUGGGGCUUGCCCAGGGCCUCUGCUUUGAUUCUCAGGCUUCCCUUCUUGCUCGCUGAUCUCUAUCACAUGUCCUCCAACAGACUAUGCAGAGGGGUGACAGAGGCUAGAGGAGCCAGCCUAGAGGCGCAAAAGGUCUCCCUGAGGGCUUGUGCCACAGGGCCGUUCCAGGAACUGUCCGUGGUGCUGAAGUGACGCAGGCUCAGGCGCGGCAGGCAGAACCUGGCUGUGGGAGGCUGGCUCACCGGCUGCCAACUCAGCCCCAGUCACCUCACCAGCAUUCGGUGGCACCUGGGGCUGUUAUCAAGGAGAAGUGUCCCCCUAGUUGUUGCGCUGUUGCUGAAACCCUUCUUCGGUACACAUUCCCUCUGCAAGGUUGUCCUGAGCAGGAGACGCAAGUGAAUGGGGAAGGGGAGGUGAGGAAGACGUUUGGGAGGAGCAAAUGGGUGUAAAGAUAUGGUGACUUGAAUGAUAAUGUCCUCCAUAAGCUCAUAUAAUUGAGAUCUUGGUUCUUAGUUGGUGGUGUCACUGGGGUGGGCUUUGAAGUUUCAGAAACUCAUUCCAUUUCCCAAUUAGCACAUUCUUCUCUGCCUCAUGGUUGUCUCACCAUAUAAGCCCUCAGCUACUGCUUCAGUGCCUGCCAGCCUGCCUGCUGUCGCGCUGCCUGCCAGGAUGGCCAUAGACUCAGCCUCUGAAAUUGCAAACGAGCCCACAAAUGCAUUCUCUUAUAAAUUGCCUUGGUCAUGGGGUCUCUUUGCAGAUACAGAAAAGUAGCUAAGGCAGAGGAGACAGGAGUGAAGCAUGUGGAGCAAGCCAGAAGGUACCUGUGUCGAGGAGGUUCUGGUGAAGAAGAAGGUCUUGUGGAUGUCGGAGCAGAAGGACAUACCCAGACUAUCUCAGGAACAGAGAAAAAAAAUAGGUUUUGAGUGAUUAGGAUAUAUUAGGACCUGCCAUGGUUUAAAGGAGAUAAAACUGGCAGGAAGUUGGGAUGAAGAUUAAACCAAAGAGCACAUCGUUGAGGGAUUUACAUUUGGAAAGUUGCAUGGUAAGAUAAUUUAAAUGGUAAGUGAGAUAUGAGAAAGCCAGAGUUGGCCAAGAGGCUUAAAAGCUUUAAAAGGGCUGGGUCCAGCAGUAGGACCAGGGUAGAGGGACAGGAGGCUAAAGCCAAAGGGCAGGAGCGCUCUGAACAGACAGUGGAGCUGUAGAAAGGAGACAGCGGUGGGAAGCAGCACUGUCCAGGCAGAGGAGCUGGCUCUGCUGCUGCAGUGGGAAUCACAAUCAGGGGUGGCUCACUUGAGGAAGCUUUUUCAUGGUGUGUCAUAGAAGGAACAAAGUUUUGUCACAUGUUUGACACACAGUUAUCUGAGGAAUAGUCACUGCUAUAUUAUCCUCCCUGGAGAGUCUAUUUCCAUCCACCAGGAUUAGCAGAGGGAGGGAGGGAAGGAGGAGAAGCAGGAGCCAAGCAGAGUACAACACAAUUCUCAAAGGACCUGGCCUAAGAGAAGGCGCUAUGGGAUCGAUCGAUCCUGCAAAUCCUACAAUCAGGAGUCAGCUUUUAGGCCAUAUCUAGCCUGAGUCUAGGCUAACCUGGCCAUAGGAACUCUUUAUAAUCCUGGGGACAGGGCAAGGCUCUGGCCAUGUCUGUGUCCCUGUGAUCACAGGCCCUGUCCACAUGAGACACAGACAAAAGAACACAAGAGAUGAUGUAGUUGAGGUGUGACCACAUCAAAGCCCACAAUGAACUAAGUAUCGAGUGACCACAGCCUUGUUCACACUUGUCUUCCCAGUUUUUUUCCUGUCUUCUCUUGACACAUAUUCAACCUAGUAAACUCAGAUUCUGGGAGGUUCCUAAUGAUGCCAUUUUUUUUUGUCUCCCACUAGACUUUAGGAAGUUCAAUGCUCCUCAUUAUUGAGGUAGAGCACAGUUCUAAACUGGUUUAUCCUGUAGACCCUGCAGACAUCAGAGGUAGUGGUCAGGACCCUGAUCUGCAGUGCUUGUGUGCCCGGUUCCUUAGUUUGGAGUGUUGCUGAACAUCGUGUUGAUUGAGCACAAAGAGCAAGUGAAGGAGGCAGUUUUGAGAAACCUGGAAGGAACUUUCGGUGUAGGAGGAAAAGUAUGUGUCCAGGUGUUGAGGGUCAGAUAACCUCACAGCAGAAACCUGGGAUCCCAACCCGAGCCUGAGCUGUCAUCCAGUUGAGAAAAUGGAUUCAUCUUCUGUGAUAUUUCCACUCCUUAGUACUCCUCCUCCCAGGAGCUUAGGGGAAGAUUGUUCUGCAAGAAGCUCCUGGUAAGACACAGAAGUUCAUAAUUCAACAAAUCCAACUCCAAAUGGUUCACAAUGUCCUCCUGAUGUGUGAAUUCAGAUGCCAGGCUCUGACCCAAGGAUCACCUCCUGACUACCCACCACCAAGGAAGGAGCCCUUCUAAUCCAAUCCUGCCCCAGUUCAGCAGGAAGUAGACAAGUGGACAGCUUCAUGACUCAGGGUGACUCCACCUCAGGCUUCAAUGAGAGUUGGAAGUUUCCAAGGUGUUCACCCAGUGAAACAGGAGGUGGCUGAGCAAUGAUUUCUGGGGCAAGAUGGACGUCGUUCUCCAAGCCGAGUUUAAGAACCUAUCCUUGACUCUGGGUCUCCACUGUCCUGUCUCAGGUGACAGGCACAACCUUCAGGGACUGUCCUCUUUCUUGGUACACUGAUGUGUACCAAGGAGCCUCCACUUUGCUUGUACCUGAAGUAGCUGAGACACACUGACUUGACUCUCACGUAAUUUUGCCCAGAGUGUGGGCCUGCAGUGGCCACAGUGGGCCAACACCUAUGAUGGUCAGCACAGCAGGACGGCAGGAGGAUCGGCCCACUUUCCCACAGGAGCAGCAUCUUGAUGUUUCUGGUGCUCUGGACGACAGGCACCUGUGGCCCCACCAUCCCUUUAAUUGAGAAGUCAAUGGCAGAGGAUGUUGUCUCACUGUGGAUGCAACUGCAGGAUAGAAGAACACAGGCCUUUGUCACUGGCUGUAGCAACACAUGACAUGGACCAUGUCAUGACACUGAGCAGGGGCUGCUGGUGAUUGUAGGAGCCAGCCAUGAUAAGUUAAAUAUGAACAGAUCACCCAAAGGAAAUUCUUUACUUCCAACCCAUUAUCACCUGCCAAAGUAGGACUCAACUGAAAGGCCCGAAAGUCUCAAUAAUUUACCCUGAAGCAAUACCUGGUUGCAGGAAGAACCACAAACUGAGAUUACCGGAGCACCACCAGAAAACAGACCAUCCACAGGAAAUGCCUAACAUUCCAACCAUUGUAGAUAAGAUCACCUGCCAGCAAACACCAGGAUGCCCCUAGACAAAUGUUAGCCAAUCAGAGGUCCUGAACCUCAGAAACCACUCACCCCCACCUUUACUACUAUAAAAACCCUACUCUAACUGAGC
This is a non-coding RNA of Myodes glareolus (Bank vole), 6516 nucleotides long. Lineage: Eukaryota; Metazoa; Chordata; Mammalia; Rodentia; Cricetidae. The record is from RefSeq and is a predicted model, not a curated record.